Molecule: ribosomal RNA, 305 nt
Filed under: uncultured bacterium
Lineage: Bacteria
Description: bacterial SSU rRNA
Rfam family: Bacterial small subunit ribosomal RNA
Source: RNAcentral
UCCUACGGGGCGCAGCAGUGGGGAAUAUUGCACAAUGGGGGAAACCCUGAUGCAGCGACGCCGCGUGAAGGAAGAAGUAUUUCGGUAUGUAAACUUCUAUCAGCAGGGAAGAAAAUGACGGUACCUGACUAAGAAGCCCCGGCUAACUACGUGCCAGCAGCCGCGGUAAUACGUAGGGGGCAAGCGUUAUCCGGAUUUACUGGGUGUAAAGGGAGCGCAGGCGGCCUGGCAAGUCUGAUGUGAAAUACCGGGGCCCAACUUCGGGACUGCAUUGGAAACUGUCAGACUGGAGUGCUGGAGAGGCA